GGAUAACAGUCAGCCGGAGCCAGAAACCCCCACCCAGGCUGAGGAACAAGGAUGUGUGGCCGGCAAGGAAUAAUGGGCUACUGGGAGGUGCCAGUGAGAUCAACGUCUAAAUGCUAGUUUGGUGGGUGGAAGAGUGAACGUUUGGGAAGAGUGAGAUGAUUUUGUUUCACUGGAGGAGUUAGAAACAUAAAUAUAUGCAUCUCAGGGGACCACUGUAUGGAUUAAAGGAGUCACACUUACCCAUCAACUGGCGCACAACAGGUACCCAGGGUGAAGCUUGACAGGAAAUGCUAGGAAGUCUUUGUGGCAACUGCUGAUGGAGGUUACGAGAACGUGGCAAGCACAGACCAAAAGGUAGAGCCAACCCUG
Long non-coding RNA from Canis lupus familiaris (dog), 369 nucleotides. RefSeq lists it as uncharacterized. The transcript is spliced from 3 exons. The record is from RefSeq and is a predicted model, not a curated record. NCBI's taxonomy places the organism in Eukaryota, Metazoa, Chordata, Mammalia, Carnivora, Canidae.